AGUCACUGACAUUAGAUACCCCUGUAGUCCAGGGUGUAAACGCUGCAGACUUGGUGUUGGGGGCCCUUUGGGGGCAUUCAGUGCCGGAGAGAAGUUGUUAAGUCUGCUACUUGGGGAGUACGUCCGCAAGGAUGAAACUUAAAGGAAUUGGCGGGGGAGCACCGCAACGGGAGGAGCGUGCGGUUUAAUUGGAUUCAACACCGUAAACUCACCAGGGAAGACUGUUACAUGAAGGCCGAGAUGAAGACUCUGCUAGAUUUUCAG
Molecule: ribosomal RNA, 264 nt
Filed under: uncultured archaeon
Lineage: Archaea
Description: partial 16S ribosomal RNA
Rfam family: Archaeal small subunit ribosomal RNA
Source: RNAcentral